Molecule: ribosomal RNA, 433 nt
Filed under: uncultured bacterium
Lineage: Bacteria
Description: partial 16S ribosomal RNA
Rfam family: Bacterial small subunit ribosomal RNA
Source: RNAcentral
AACGAACGCUGGCGGCAUGCCUAACACAUGCAAGUCGAACGAGACCUUCGGGUCUAGUGGCGCACGGGUGCGUAACGCGUGGGAACCUGCCCUUAGGUUCGGGAUAACUCCCCGAAAGGGGUGCUAAUACCGGAUAAUGUCUGCGGACCAAAGAUUUAUCGCCUUUGGAUGGGCCCGCGUUGGAUUAGCUAGUUGGUAGGGUAAAAGCCUACCAAGGCGACGAUCCAUAGCUGGUCUGAGAGGAUGAUCAGCCACACUGGGACUGAGACACGGCCCAGACUCCUACGGGAGGCAGCAGUGGGGAAUAUUGGAAAAUGGGCGAAAGCCUGAUCCAGCAAUGCCGCGUGAGUGAUGAAGGCCUUAGGGUUGUAAAGCUCUUUUACCCGGGAUGAUAAUGACAGUACCGGGAGAAUAAGCUCCGGCUAACUCCGUG